RNAcentral lists this ribosomal RNA (94 nucleotides) under uncultured bacterium. RNAcentral's name for it is "partial 16S ribosomal RNA". It matches the Rfam family "Bacterial small subunit ribosomal RNA", at positions 257 to 353 of the family's 1533-position model. The record is from RNAcentral.
GUAAGCGCCACAACUCGAUGGAUAGGGGUUCUGAGAGGAAGGUCCCCCACAUUGGAACUGAGACACGGUCCAAACUCCUACGGGAGGCAGCAUG